This 231-nucleotide ribosomal RNA is filed under the name uncultured bacterium. RNAcentral describes it as "partial 16S ribosomal RNA". It matches the Rfam family "Bacterial small subunit ribosomal RNA", at positions 15 to 239 of the family's 1533-position model. The record is from RNAcentral.
GAUCAUGGCUCAGGACGAACGCUGGCGGCGCGCCUAACACAUGCAAGUCGAACGAGAGAUGAAGAGCUUGCUCUUCAAAUCGAGUGGCGAACGGGUGAGUAACGCGUGAGGAACCUGCCUCAAAGAGGGGGACAACAGUUGGAAACGACUGCUAAUACCGCAUAAGCCCACAGCUCGGGCAUCGAGCAGAGGGAAAAGGAGUGAUCCCGCUUUGAGAUGGCCUCGCGUCCG